RNAcentral lists this long non-coding RNA (667 nucleotides) under Homo sapiens (human). RNAcentral's name for it is "novel transcript". Lineage: Eukaryota; Metazoa; Chordata; Mammalia; Primates; Hominidae. The record is from RNAcentral.
ACCCUGGAGAAAGAAUCUUACAAAGAAUACUAAAGAGCAUCCAAGUGUGAAGAAUGAAACACACAGAUGAGCCCCAAGAGGAUGAGGAAGGGAGAGGCUGGUGGGGGUCUGAUUCUCAUCUCCACCUUAACAGAAUGCACAUGAAGUCCAGCCAUGGUGUAGCCAAGGAGACCCACUAAGACCACCAAAAGCUUGGAAAUGAGGAUGCAGGGGCAAAGGACGGCAUUAUAGGCGCACACUUGAUUUCCUAGAAGUCUCGGACAAACUUUGGCAUGCAGACAGCUUUCCACUUCAAGAGUUUGCCCUUCACUUCUGACAUCACUCUCCAGAAUCAUGAGCACAACCCAGAAAUGUGGUUCUUGAGACCACCUUGCAAAUAAAUGACCUAUACCCAAUCUUCAUCUCAGCAUCUGUUUUGAGGGAAUUCAAACUAAGACAGGAGCCCAGAGAAGCUAAAGGAUUUCUGUUCCUUUUCCCUGGGGAGGCUACUCUUCCCACUAAAUGAACUUCUUUUCUGAAGAUCCACUGAACUGGCAGAGUCCAUUCAAUGAGACAUCUUGAGCCUCAGCCCCUGAAGCUCCACGCCAAGGCUCUCAACAUGAUUCUAUUCCAUGUGCAUUCAUUCUGUUGAAUAAACCACAGUUCAGCUUUGUUCAGUAAUGCUUUA